CGGGACAUUCGCUCGAGCCCUUGAUUGCAGCAGUUCUGUAAGGCAGCCUAGUUUGCAUAUGAGUGCAGCUGCAGCUUCUCGAGACAUCACCCUGGCUUCCCACGUUCAGCUUAAUUAUACCACUGAUGCCUUCUGUGGCUGGUCAUCGGGCUUGGCACUUGCUUCCUUCUCUGCACCCUCCAGCAAUGCAGACCUGCAUGUUUUUGCCUAUUGAAGUUCCUUAACUGUAUUGAUUGCCACUCCCUCUGAGAUAGGCAUGGUAGGAUGCUCAUUUUACAGAUGAGGAAACUGAGGGUGAAGAGAUUUGGAUUUUACAAGUAAGGGUGAGAAGAAAUUCACUUGAAAGUUGAAGUUAUUAUUCCAUGAUUGUGACACAUAUAGCAAAAGACUGCACAUGGUCAGUAUGGUCUUAGCUGUGAUUAUAACUAGGAAAUUGAUAAUGAAAUCCCUACUUGCUUUUGUUUUGUGGAAUCCAAUGAUUUAUUUUAGGGGAGACGUCAACCCUUGUUAAAGCAGUUAGUUACUGUUCCCUAAUCAUGUCCUAAAUCCUGCCUUUAUUAGCUCUGUCAACAAAUUCAU
Physeter macrocephalus (sperm whale) is the source of this 579-nucleotide long non-coding RNA. RefSeq lists it as uncharacterized. The record is from RefSeq and is a predicted model, not a curated record. Lineage: Eukaryota; Metazoa; Chordata; Mammalia; Artiodactyla; Physeteridae. The transcript is spliced from 4 exons.